AUGAACGCUAGCUACAGGCUUAACACAUGCAAGUCGAGGGGCAGCAUGAGACGGAGAUUCGUCGAAGUCUUGAUGGCGACCGGCGCAAGGGUGCGUAACGCGUGAGCAACUUCGCCGUUCAGGGGGAUAACCGGUGGAAACGCCGACUAAUACCCCAUAGCACAUAUUUAAGGCAUCUUUUAUAUGUUAAAGAAUUUCGGAUGAGGAUAGGCUCGCGUGACAUUAGCUAGAUGGCGGGGUAACGGCCCACCAUGGCGACGAUGUCUAGGGGUUCUGAGAGGAAGGUCCCCCACACUGGAACUGAGACACGGUCCAGACUCCUACGGGAGGCAGCAGUGAGGAAUAUUGGUCAAUGGUCUGACGACUGAACCAGCCAUGCCGCGUGAAGGUCACGGCCCUAUGGGUCUUAAACUUCUUUUGUAAGGGAGCAAUAAGUCUCACGUGUGGGAUGAUGAGAGUACCUUACGAAUAAGCAUCGGCUAACUCCGUG
Molecule: ribosomal RNA, 490 nt
Filed under: uncultured bacterium
Lineage: Bacteria
Description: bacterial SSU rRNA
Rfam family: Bacterial small subunit ribosomal RNA
Source: RNAcentral